This 1576-nucleotide ribosomal RNA is filed under the name Salmonella enterica. Its description in RNAcentral is "partial 23S ribosomal RNA". It matches the Rfam family "Bacterial large subunit ribosomal RNA", at positions 1243 to 2802 of the family's 2925-position model. Lineage: Bacteria; Pseudomonadati; Pseudomonadota; Gammaproteobacteria; Enterobacterales; Enterobacteriaceae. The record is from RNAcentral. RNAcentral also lists the same sequence under 1 other name.
UAAGCCUGUGAAGGUGGCCUGUGAGGGUUGCUGGAGGUAUCAGAAGUGCGAAUGCUGACAUAAGUAACGAUAAAGCGGGUGAAAAGCCCGCUCGCCGGAAGACCAAGGGUUCCUGUCCAACGUUAAUCGGGGCAGGGUGAGUCGACCCCUAAGGCGAGGCCGAAAGGCGUAGUCGAUGGGAAACGGGUUAAUAUUCCCGUACUUGGUGUUACUGCGAAGGGGGGACGGAGAAGGCUAUGUUGGCCGGGCGACGGUUGUCCCGGUUUAAGCGUGUAGGUGUGUGUUCCAGGUAAAUCCGGUUCACUUUAACACUGAGGCGUGACGACGAGGCACUACGGUGCUGAAGCAACAAAUGCCCUGCUUCCAGGAAAAGCCUCUAAGCAUCAGGUAACAUCAAAUCGUACCCCAAACCGACACAGGUGGUCAGGUAGAGAAUACCAAGGCGCUUGAGAGAACUCGGGUGAAGGAACUAGGCAAAAUGGUGCCGUAACUUCGGGAGAAGGCACGCUGACACGUAGGUGAAGUGAUUUACUCAUGGAGCUGAAGUCAGUCGAAGAUACCAGCUGGCUGCAACUGUUUAUUAAAAACACAGCACUGUGCAAACACGAAAGUGGACGUAUACGGUGUGACGCCUGCCCGGUGCCGGAAGGUUAAUUGAUGGGGUCAGCGCAAGCGAAGCUCCUGAUCGAAGCCCCGGUAAACGGCGGCCGUAACUAUAACGGUCCUAAGGUAGCGAAAUUCCUUGUCGGGUAAGUUCCGACCUGCACGAAUGGCGUAAUGAUGGCCAGGCUGUCUCCACCCGAGACUCAGUGAAAUUGAACUCGCUGUGAAGAUGCAGUGUACCCGCGGCAAGACGGAAAGACCCCGUGAACCUUUACUAUAGCUUGACACUGAACAUUGAGCCUUGAUGUGUAGGAUAGGUGGGAGGCUUUGAAGUGUGGACGCCAGUCUGCAUGGAGCCGACCUUGAAAUACCACCCUUUAAUGUUUGAUGUUCUAACGUGGACCCGUAAUCCGGGUUGCGGACAGUGUCUGGUGGGUAGUUUGACUGGGGCGGUCUCCUCCUAAAGAGUAACGGAGGAGCACGAAGGUUGGCUAAUCCUGGUCGGACAUCAGGAGGUUAGUGCAAUGGCAUAAGCCAGCUUGACUGCGAGCGUGACGGCGCGAGCAGGUGCGAAAGCAGGUCAUAGUGAUCCGGUGGUUCUGAAUGGAAGGGCCAUCGCUCAACGGAUAAAAGGUACUCCGGGGAUAACAGGCUGAUACCGCCCAAGAGUUCAUAUCGACGGCGGUGUUUGGCACCUCGAUGUCGGCUCAUCACAUCCUGGGGCUGAAGUAGGUCCCAAGGGUAUGGCUGUUCGCCAUUUAAAGUGGUACGCGAGCUGGGUUUAGAACGUCGUGAGACAGUUCGGUCCCUAUCUGCCGUGGGCGCUGGAGAACUGAGGGGGGCUGCUCCUAGUACGAGAGGACCGGAGUGGACGCAUCACUGGUGUUCGGGUUGUCAUGCCAAUGGCACUGCCCGGUAGCUAAAUGCGGAAGAGAUAAGUGCUGAAAGCAUCUAAGCACGAAACUUGCCCCGA